Molecule: ribosomal RNA, 275 nt
Filed under: uncultured bacterium
Lineage: Bacteria
Description: partial 16S ribosomal RNA
Rfam family: Bacterial small subunit ribosomal RNA
Source: RNAcentral
CCUACGGGAGGCUGCAGUGGGGAAUUUUGGACAAUGGGCGCAAGCCUGAUCCAGCCAUGCCGCGUGAGUGAAGAAGGCCUUCGGGUUGUAAAGCUCUUUCGGCCGGGAAGAAAUCGCACGCUCUAACAUAGCGUGUGGAUGACGGUACCGGACUAAGAAGCACCGGCUAACUACGUGCCAGCAGCCGCGGUAAUACGUAGGGUGCGAGCGUUAAUCGGAAUUACUGGGCGUAAAGCGUGCGCAGGCGGUUUUGUAAGACAGAUGUGAAAUCCCCG